CUUAAGAUCUCAAACCCCACAUUGUCUCUCUCUAACUUCUAAGCAUUGUCUGUCCCCAACAACUCCACGCUCUCUGGUCUUUGAAAUACCCAAAAAGAAUUGAAGAAGCUAAGAGAAGAGAAGAGAACCAUGCUCCAAUUCUUCAUCACCUACAAGAAUCUUAUACUUCAACUCUCACUCUCUCUCACACUCACACUCCUCCUCACCUUCCUCAAAAUCCCCAUCUUCUUCCUCCGUGGCCUCCACACCUACAUCCACCCUGACAACGUCCAAAGUGGAGUCCGAGCCGCCAUUCGGAGGCCCGAUGCCUCCGAUUCGGCUUCUGGGUUACCUUCAAAAUCCAAUUCCGAGCUCAGGAAGAGGUCCAAGUCAAAGGACAAGCCCGAGUUCGAUGAAAACAAUGCUCAGAUCUUUCGCCUAAAGCUCGACGAGGCCCAUCUUCAAACCAGGCUCUAUUUCAAUGAGUAUUGCAAUGCUUUCACAUUCUCAUUUGUAGCUCUAUCUUGUCUUUUGCUUCAGUUAUUGUACUUGAAUAGCGAAGCAAACAAUUCUGGGCUUUUGGUUAAUGGGAUUUUUGUUCCGGUUCUGUUAGGCUUUGCGGGUGUUUCUAAGUUGUUGAUGUUGCUUGGCAAAGUUUCGUAUGAGAAAUCUGCGUCGCGGCGGUCAGAGAAGCAACUGAGUGUGCUUUGCGGCGCUGUGGGGUUGGUUUUAGGAUAUAUGGUUUGCUUCACAUUUAGUCCUUCGGUUUUAGAUUUCAAUUUUGACUCAAUUGAUGGGUCUGGGAGGAUCUUUGUUGCUGUUUUAAUGGGAUGCUUUUCGGGUUUCUUGUUUAUGCCCGCGGUGAAGAGUGCGAGGUGCUUUUGGCUUGGAACUGAUCAGAUUAGGUCUGAUUUGGUAAUGCUAUCAUGUGAUUGGUUUGGUAGAGUAGUUCUGUAUGCAAAUUAUAUGAUGAUUGUAUUCACAGUUCUUUUGUGGAUUAAUCCCUUAGCUGGAAUGCUCGUGAACAAGAACAUAAAUGGAAAAGUUGGAAAUGCUGAGAUGUUGAUUGGCAAUGUCGGAUUUUCGCCUUCAGAUUUUGCUAAAUUUAGGCUUUGCUGCUUACUGCUUUCGAGUUUUCUGCAAAUUGUUGCUCUACGCCCCAACAUACAAAUGUAUUUGAAUGAGGCACUGUUAUCUUGGUACCAAAGAUUGCAUGCUAGCAGGGUUCCAGACUUGGAUUUCAGUAGGGCUAAGGUGUUUUUGCACAAUCACUACUUAUGCCUUGUAGUUGUGCAGUUUCUUGCACCACCAAUUGUGUUACUCCUUUUUCUUGGACUAUCUCAGAUUGAUGGUAUCUCUUCGGAAAAUUACAAAUACAUUUGUAGUCUAGCGCCUUGCUCUGCCUUUGUGAAAGAAGUGGCUCUCUUUAUGGCUUGGUGGGUUAUGUUUGUUUGGGCGAUUUAUAGUUCAGCAACCAUUCUUCUAUAUCGUCGCUGCGUUUUGUACAUGUCUUGAUGACUUUGAUUUGUUGUCUCAACCUUCGACGAAUUUUGAGUGAGAGUGUUGUUGUGCGUGUGACGGAAUUUUCAUUACUUAACCUGUGCAAUUCUACAUCCCGAGGAAGGGGGAAGAGAGAAUCGAAAACAUUAUCGGGAUGUGUUCCACGGAAAAUUAUAAUUUAUCUUAUAGUUGUGUGUGUGGGUGUGGCAUCAAUUAUUAGCGAGAUUGGACUAAAUAGGUAGAGAGUAUUUCACACUACUUUAAUGCCAAUGUCAAUCUUGUUUGCUUCUUUACCCGCUUUUAUCUAUUUUUU
This is a non-coding RNA of Prunus mume (Japanese apricot), 1792 nucleotides long. The record is from RefSeq and is a predicted model, not a curated record. NCBI's taxonomy places the organism in Eukaryota, Viridiplantae, Streptophyta, Magnoliopsida, Rosales, Rosaceae.